RNAcentral lists this ribosomal RNA (253 nucleotides) under uncultured bacterium. Its description in RNAcentral is "partial 16S ribosomal RNA". It matches the Rfam family "Bacterial small subunit ribosomal RNA", at positions 524 to 776 of the family's 1533-position model. The record is from RNAcentral.
UACGUAGGGUGCAAGCGUUACUCGGAAUCACUGGGCGUAAAGCGUGCGUAGGUGGUUUGUUAAGUCUGAUGUGAAAGCCCUGGGCUCAACCUGGGAAUUGCAUUGGAUACUGGCAGGCUAGAGUGCGGUAGAGGGUAGUGGAAUUCCCGGUGUAGCAGUGAAAUGCGUAGAUAUCGGGAGGAACACCAGUGGCGAAGGCGACUCCCUGGACCAGAACUGACGCUGAGGCACGAAAGCGUGGGGAGCAAACAGG